This 3003-nucleotide long non-coding RNA is filed under the name Felis catus (domestic cat). RNAcentral describes it as "lncRNA (ENSFCAG00000044604.2)". Lineage: Eukaryota; Metazoa; Chordata; Mammalia; Carnivora; Felidae. The record is from RNAcentral.
UUGAUUCAUCACAGUCGGAUAGUCAUGGUUCUAUGCUUUGUUGAUGAUGCUCAGAAUGCCUAAAGCAUAGCACAGACGGAUGCUCAACGGAUGACGGCAGCAUCUUGAGCGAAUGGUAUCAGAAGGGUACAGAGGCAAGAAAAUCUAUAUUGUUUCAAUAAGAACAGGUUCUGAGGACCCAUGGCUCUUGCAGUUCUCACUGUUGUUACCUUUUGUCUUGUGAGCUGCACGAAUUUAGCCAAGGAUAGUACUUUUGGCAAAUAGGAGGAGAUCCAAAUAGCCUAGAUCCCACGAAGGAUCUUCAUGCGUACUUCGAACAAUCACACAAAGGUAACAACCUCUUUUCCUCUCAGUUAGUCUAAACCUUCAUUGAUAAAUCACCAUACCUUAUGUGGUCUCAUGAAUUCUGUAAUACAUUUUGUUUUAUUCUAUUCUAGUCUAUUCUUUUCUUUAUUUUGUUUUAUUAUUAAGUAGGCUCCAUGCUCAACAUGGGGCUUGAACUCACAACGCUGAGAUCAAGAUCCACAUGCUCUACUGACUGAGCCAGCCAGGCGCCCCUGUAAUACAUUUUUUAACCAAAAAUUUUAUCUAGACAGCCCGCAGAAAUUACUGGCCUGAUGUUCCACGUACCUGGGGACAGCCCUGUUCCUGGCCACCUUGCACCUGCCCUGCUCCAGCCCCGGAAUCAGUCUUUUGUCCAUGGAGCCUGGGGGUCAGAGACCAAGAUCUCUGCAUUCGUUUGGCGGAGAGAUCCGAAGAUGUGUGCGAGUGCCUGCCCGGAGUCAGACUGCAAUGAAAGCCAGCGAUGCCUUUGGUGGCCCCUGAAAUGCUCAGUCUUCCUCCUGUCCAGCGGUGUGGUGAUCUCCAACAUACACUUCAAGAGCACCUCCUUACCAGAUCCCACCUGAGCGAAGGUUCUGAGCUCGUAGUAUUACUGUUCAAAGAAACAUGACGGUACUUUCCUCGCGUGCGUGUCUGUGUUUAUUGAUCUGUCUGUACAUGUAUCUCGGGAGGAGAGGGAGGUGGGAUCCAACCAGUGCAGGGGGCGUUAGAACAGGCGGGUACAGAGAGGCAGUGUUCAGGUUCCGGCAUCUGAACUACGAUUUUCGCCCAUAGUGUCACAAGCCAAGUUUUGUUGAGAAACAUGAUUCACAUUUUCUUUUGUCUCCUCCAGGAGCCUGGCCCCUGGCACCAUAGUUUUAGACUAGAGGGUUCCCAUCAGCACAUAGGGGAGGGGAGAAAGCCUGUCCCUGUCACCCCAGGAGAACGCGGGAGGGAAGGGAGGGGACAGGCAAGGUAGAGGGGAAGGCGGAUGCUAAGAUCCUCAUUUUCUCUUCCUGCCCCCUCAAGGAAGCUGGAGGCAGCUUCAGAAAUAUCUAGAAGUGUGUUCAAAAGCUGGAAGGCGGCGGGGCAUCUGGGCUCCUUCCCGUUUAUGGCUGUGGGCUGCCUGCUUUCUCCAGCUUGGGCACAACUCCAUCAAAGUGACCGCAGCAGCACCACAAGGGUAAAGCAGAGGGAGGGAGGAUGUAGUUCCAUGCGGUACUCACAGAGCCUAGAAGCUCCCGCGUGUAUGCGAGGCUGACGGGGGGACGUUGGAAGCUUAGACAGUUUGAGCGACUUGACCCCACAGAGUGAGCGGCACAGCUGGGUUUUGAGCCCUUAGCUCUUAACAACCACACACCUGCCACUCGGCUCCCCUGCAGCUGGGUAGCAGGGGUGCGGGGCCUCCCAUACUGGUUGCAAUGUCUUCCUCGGCUUGGACCCUGGGCGUGGUCAGCGUCCAGCCCGGCAUGUCCCCUCAGGCUCCCCUUGUCCCACAGCAGUGGCUGCUAAAGUCCCCGUGUGUCUCACAUCCUUUGUCAUACUCGCACCACACCUCCCCCUCACAGGCCUAACUCGGAUCGCGGACGUGACCUCCUGGUUUACAGAACUUUCUAUGGCGCUCCGUGACUCGUUCCCUCCCGCGUGUUUUUGUGGCAUCUCACGCAGAAACAUAGUCACGUAUCGCCUGAGCUGGACCGGGAGUCUUCAGUGACAGGUGAAAGCCACGAUCAUCUCUGAGUUUCUAGCCCAGAGAGGGAGAGGCACACUGCGGGCUGCCUUGCUUAAGGCUCUUCAUACCCUCAACCAGAGGGUCCUGGGUACAGCAGAGGCCGGAAAGCAGAAAAAGACAUUCCGAGCUAGGUUUCCAUGAUUAAUUUAAGUCCUGCCGGUCAGGCAUUCAUGUGAGACUCUGAUUUAAGACCGAGCGACGUUUUGCAAAAGGCAAGAGACGGGGCAUUCAUUUUGCUGGGGUGGAUCUUGGUGUUUAAAUUGUGACAGCAAUUCCUAAGGCAGACAGAUCUAUAGAGUCUGUAGUCCACACACAUUUGUCCUGGGGGGGAAGAAAGGAUAAACUUAAUGAAACUGCUCCCUUACAGAUUGCCAACAGCAUCUAAGAAUUGAUAACGGUCCCCAUCCCAGUUAGCCAGUUCCCCAUUACUUUCCCACUUGCCUUUUCACAGAAAGCAGGCCUUGUGUUGUAUUUGAUCUAGUUCUAUUAGAAAUCCUGUUGCAUUUGCCCCAGAGUCUAGUCGUUGAAAAGAGUGGGAAACAGUAAACCACAACAACAGCAUAAUCAGAAGGAAGGGUUAUUACCGGCAGCAAAGUCAGCAAAUGCUCCUGAAUUCCCCAAAAUCACACCAAAGAGGUAGGAAGAUAAGCUUCCACGUCGUGCUUCUCCUUAAGGUUUAUUUGUAUGACUUCAAUUAUAUUGCUUUCCACCUUUGGGAUUCUGUGCUUCUUUGGCAUCUAGGAUUUAUGAGCAAAUUAGAGAGUACACCAGGAAAGGUUCCGUAGACAUGGGAAGGAGGUGGAAUUUUACCAGCAAGGCAAAGGAAGGCUCAGGGAUUUGCUGAAGAUCCCGGUGAGUUGGCAACCAAACUGGACCCCUUUCUAUCGUGCAUCUCCGAAAGUGGCUGUGUUUUCAAUAAACUUUUUGGUAGGAGUUGAGAAUGGCCGUAG